Molecule: ribosomal RNA, 552 nt
Filed under: Calotriton arnoldi (Montseny brook newt)
Lineage: Eukaryota; Metazoa; Chordata; Amphibia; Caudata; Salamandridae
Description: partial 16S ribosomal RNA
Rfam family: Bacterial large subunit ribosomal RNA
Source: RNAcentral
CGCCUCUUGCUACACCCAGUAUAAGAGGUCUCGCCUGCCCAGUGAUAAAUUUUAACGGCCGCGGUAUCAUGACCGUGCAAAGGUAGCGUAAUCACUUGUCUUUUAAAUAAAGACCCGUAUGAAAGGCAAAACGAAAAUUCAACUGUCUCUUUAAUCUGAUCAGUGAAAUUAAUCUCUCCGUGCAGAAGCGGAGAUAACCAUAUAAGACGAGAAGACCCUAUGGAGCUUUAAACAUGAAGUUAACCACACAACACCAACAACCAACAGGUAAAAAAUAAAAAUGUGUGGCCAUACCCUGAGUUUUCGGUUGGGGCGACCACGGAAGAAGAAAAUCCUCCGAGAUAAAUAACUUAGAACAACACUUCAAAGACUAAGACAUUUGCUAUAAAUGAUCCACUAAGUGACCAACGAACCAAGUUACCCUAGGGAUAACAGCGCAAUCCUUUCUAAGAGUCCAUAUCGACGAAUGGGUUUACGACCUCGAUGUUGGAUCAGGACACCCAAAUGGUGCAGCCGCUAUUAAAGGUUCGUUUGUUCAACGAUUAAAGUCCU